UCAAUCUUCAACGAGAUCCGGAGGGACGCAAUUGGUCUUCAACAAGGUCAGGAGGGCCGCACUCGAUCUUCAACGAGGUCCGGAGGGACGCAAUUGGUCUUCAACAAGGUCAGGAGGCCCGCACACGAUCUUCAACGAGAUCCGGAGGGACGCAAUUGGUCUUCAACAAGGUCAGGAGGGCCGCACUCGAUCUUCAACGAGGUCCGGAGGGACGCAAUUGGUCUUCAACAAGGUCAGGAGGGCCGCACUCGAUCUUCAAUGAGGUCCGGAGGGACGCAAUUGGUCUUUAACGAGGUCCAGAGGGAAGCACUGAAAAUAUGUUAUAUUUCCU
This is a long non-coding RNA of Oncorhynchus tshawytscha (Chinook salmon), 331 nucleotides long. The record is from Ensembl. NCBI's taxonomy places the organism in Eukaryota, Metazoa, Chordata, Actinopteri, Salmoniformes, Salmonidae.